UGGGGAAUUUUGGACAAUGGGGGAAACCCUGAUCCAGCCAUCCCGCGUGUGCGAUGAAGGCCUUCGGGUUGUAAAGCACUUUUGGCAGGAAAGAAACGUCAUGGGUUAAUACCCCGUGAAACUGACGGUACCUGCAGAAUAAGCACCGGCUAACUACGUGCCAGCAGCCGCGGUAAUACGUAGGGUGCAAGCGUUAAUCGGAAUUACUGGGCGUAAAGCGUGCGCAGGCGGUUCGGAAAGAAAGAUGUGAAAUCCCAGAGCUCAACUUUGGAACUGCCUUUAUAACUACCGGGCUAGAGUGUGUCAGAGGGAGGUGGAAUUCCGCGUGUAGCAGUGAAAUGCGUAGAUAUGCGGAGGAACACCGAUGGCGAAGGCAGCCUCCUGGGAUAACACUGACGCUCAUGCACGAAAGCGUGGGGAGCAAACAGG
This 429-nucleotide ribosomal RNA is filed under the name Acidobacteriota bacterium. RNAcentral's name for it is "Acidobacteria bacterium partial 16S ribosomal RNA". It matches the Rfam family "Bacterial small subunit ribosomal RNA", at positions 355 to 776 of the family's 1533-position model. Lineage: Bacteria; Pseudomonadati; Acidobacteriota. The record is from RNAcentral.